Molecule: ribosomal RNA, 858 nt
Filed under: uncultured bacterium
Lineage: Bacteria
Description: bacterial SSU rRNA
Rfam family: Bacterial small subunit ribosomal RNA
Source: RNAcentral
CGGCGUGGAUAAGACAUGCAAGUCGAACGAGAUUUUUCAUUGUAGCAAUACGAUGGAAAAUUUAGUGGCGAACGGGUGCUUAACACGUGGGCAACCUGCCAAGAAGUGGGGGAUAGCUCGCCGAAAGGCGAAUUAAUACCGCAUGUGAUUAGAGAGGACAUCUUUUCAAAAUUAAAGUCGGGGCAACCUGACGCUUCUUGUGGGGCCCGCGGCCUAUCAGCUAGUUGGUGAGGUAACGGCUCACCAAGGCUUUGACGGGUAGCUGGUCUGAGAGGACGACCAGCCACACUGGGACUGAGACACGGCCCAGACACCUACGGGUGGCAGCAGUCGAGAAUUUUUGACAAUGGGGGAAACCCUGAUCGAGCGACGCCGCGUGGAGGACGAAGGUCUUCGGAUUGUAAACUCCUGUCAUUGGGGAACAAGGUGCAUACGUUAACUGCGUGUGCAUUGAUAGUACCCGAAGAGGAAGAGACGGCUAACUCUGUGCCAGCAGCCGCGGUAAUACAGAGGUCUCAAGCGUUGUUCGGAUUCAUUGGGCGUAAAGGGUGCGUAGGCGGCGCGGUAAGUCGGGUGUGAAAUCUCGGAGCUUAACUCCGAAACUGCAUUCGAUACUGCCGUGCUUGAGGACUGGAGAGGAGACUGGAAUUUACGGUGUAGCGGUGAAAUGCGUAGAUAUCGUAAGGAAGACCAGUGGCGAAGGCGGGUCUCUGGACAGUUCCUGACGCUGAGGCACGAAGGUCAGGGGAGCAAACGGGAUUAGAUACCCCGGUAGUCCUGACAGUAAACGGUGCACGUUUGGUGUGGGAGGAUUCGACCCCUUCUGCGCCGGAGCUAACGCGUUAAAUGUGCCGCCUG